GAGUUUGAUCAUGGCUCAGGAUGAACGCUAGCGGCGCGCCUAAUGCAUGCAAGUCGAGCGAUGAGGCACCUUUGGGUGUACAUCAGCGGCAGACGGGUGAGUAACACGUAGGUGACCUACCCCGAAGACGGGGAUAACAGGUGGAAACAUCUGCUAAUACCCGAUGGACUCUGAGCGGAAGCGAGGAGUAAAGGCUACGGUGCUUCGGGAGGGGCCUGCGGCCUAUCAGCUAGUUGGUAGGGUAACGGCCUACCAAGGCGAAGACGGGUAGGGGUGUGAGAGCACGGCCCCCCACAAUGGGACUGAGACACGGCCCAUACUCCUACGGGAGGCAGCAGCAGGGAAUAUUGCGCAAUGGGCGGAAGCCUGACGCAGCGACGCCGCGUGGAUGAAGAAGGCCUUCGGUUGUAAAUCUUUCUAGGGGACGAGGAAGGACGGUACCCU
RNAcentral lists this ribosomal RNA (444 nucleotides) under uncultured microorganism. RNAcentral describes it as "bacterial SSU rRNA". It matches the Rfam family "Bacterial small subunit ribosomal RNA", at positions 9 to 481 of the family's 1533-position model. The record is from RNAcentral.